Molecule: ribosomal RNA, 873 nt
Filed under: uncultured bacterium
Lineage: Bacteria
Description: bacterial SSU rRNA
Rfam family: Bacterial small subunit ribosomal RNA
Source: RNAcentral
AGAGUUUGAUCCUGGCUCAGGAUGAACGCUAGCGGCAGGCUUAACACAUGCAAGUCGAGGGGUAUUGGUUUUCGGACCAAGAGACCGGCGCACGGGUGCGUAACGCGUAUGCAAUCUACCUUUUACAGAGGGAUAGCCCAGAGAAAUUUGGAUUAAUACCUCAUAGUAUUACGACUCGGCAUCGAGAUGUAAUUAAAGUCACAACGGUAAAAGAUGAGCAUGCGUCCCAUUAGCUUGUUGGUAAGGUAACGGCUUACCAAGGCAACGAUGGGUAGGGGUCCUGAGAGGGAGAUCCCCCACACUGGUACUGAGACACGGACCAGACUCCUACGGGAGGCAGCAGUGAGGAAUAUUGGUCAAUGGGCGCAAGCCUGAACCAGCCAUGCCGCGUGCAGGAUGAAGCAUCUAUGGUGUGUAAACUGCUUUUGUACGAGAAGAAACACUCCUACGUGUGGGAGCUUGACGGUAUCGUAAGAAUAAGGACCGGCUAACUCCGUGCCAGCAGCCGCGGUAAUACGGAGGGUCCAAGCGUUAUCCGGAAUCAUUGGGUUUAAAGGGUCCGUAGGCGGUUUUGUAAGUCAGUGGUGAAAGCCCAUCGCUCAACGGUGGAACGGCCAUUGAUACUGCAAGACUUGAAUUAUUAGGAAGUAACUAGAAUAUGUAGUGUAGCGGUGAAAUGCUUAGAGAUUACAUGGAAUACCAAUUGCGAAGGCAGGUUACUACUAAUGGAUUGACGCUGAUGGACGAAAGCGUGGGUAGCGAACAGGAUUAGAUACCCUGGUAGUCCACGCCGUAAACGAUGGAUACUAGCUGUUGGAAGCAAUUUCAGUGGCUAAGCGAAAGUGAUAAGUAUCCCACCUGGGGAGUACGUUC